AUUGAACGCUGGCGGCAUGCCUUACACAUGCGAGUCGAACGGUAACGGGCCUUCGGGUGCCGACGAGUGGCGCACGGGUGAGUAAUACAUCGGAACGUGCCCGAUCGUGGGGGAUAACGAGGCGAAAGCUUUGCUAAUACCGCAUACGAUCUACGGAUGAAAGCAGGGGACCGCAAGGCCUUGCGCGGACGGAGCGGCCGAUGGCAGAUUAGGUAGUUGGUGGGAUAAAAGCUUACCAAGCCGACGAUCUGUAGCUGGUCUGAGAGGAUGAUCAGCCACACUGGGACUGAGACACGGCCCAGACUCCUACGGGAGGCAGCAGUGGGGAAUUUUGGACAAUGGGCGCAAGCCUGAUCCGGCCAUGCCGCGUGCAGGAUGAAGGCCUUCGGGUUGUAAACUGCUUUUGUACGGAACGAAAAGCCUUCUUUUAAUACAGGAGGGUCAUGACGGUACCGUAAGAAUAAGCACCGGCUAACUACGUG
This 482-nucleotide ribosomal RNA is filed under the name uncultured bacterium. Its description in RNAcentral is "partial 16S ribosomal RNA". It matches the Rfam family "Bacterial small subunit ribosomal RNA", at positions 30 to 507 of the family's 1533-position model. The record is from RNAcentral.